Long non-coding RNA from Pseudophryne corroboree (corroboree frog), 3918 nucleotides. RefSeq lists it as uncharacterized. The transcript is spliced from 3 exons. Lineage: Eukaryota; Metazoa; Chordata; Amphibia; Anura; Myobatrachidae. The record is from RefSeq and is a predicted model, not a curated record.
AAUCUCAAAAAGUUUGUGAUUUGUGAUGUUAACUUAUGUUGGAGGUAAUAAGCUAAAUUAUUAUUAAUUUUUUAAUUUCAUUUGUGUUUUGGACCCGUAUUUUCAUCUUGAAGAAAUGGAGUACGCUCCUGCAGUAAGUGAACACCCAUACACUUUGAAUUAGAUUUUGGUUGACAAUGUGUGUUGUUAAUUGUUUGAGGUUUUUAAUGAUUCUUACCUUCAUUUUAAGUUGGUCAUGUCCAUUCAUGUGGCAGCUGAAGCCCUCCCACCACAACCCACGGAACCACUCCCACCCCAACCACCGCAAGCCCUCCAACCCCAACCGGCUCCUCAUCCUCCAAGGCAACAGAGGCGUGCUAGGCAACCAAGUUUCCGUACCCGAGUCCUCCUUUUUGGGAUGCCUGAUGAUGUAGUGUUGCGCAGACACAGACUGCCACCUCAUCUAAUCCUAGACACUCUCUCCAUAAUAGAGAGUGAUCUAGAACAAUCCAUUAGGUAUCCUACAACAAUACCAGCAUUGACACAAUUCCUUGCUGUGUUACAUUUUGUGGCCACUGGUUCGUAUCAGGAUGUGGUCGGAGAUCUGGUUGGCAUGUCGCAGGGCCAGUUCAGUAAGGUCCUGCGGCGUGUCAGCCAUGCUUUCAUAAAGUGAGUCAAACAAUUUAUAGCAAUGCCUUUGGAUGUUGGUGCCCUGGAUGUGGUGAAGCAGCAAUUUCAGGAAGGUGGUAGUCGCUUCCCACAUGUUAUUGGGGUUGUGGAUGGAACACAUGUAGCUAUUGUUGCACCAAGACAUAAUGAAGAAAUUUAUAGAAACAGGAAACUGUUUCAUUCUCUGAAUGUAAUGGUUGUUUGUGGGCCAUCCCUCCAGAUCCUGUCCCUGAAUGCUAAGUUCCCUGGGAACUCCCAUGAUGUACAUGUCAUUAGACAAUCAGGGAUAUGGCAGAGAUUAAGAACGAUGGAAGGCCAAGACAUGUGGUUAUUGGGAGACCGUGGAUAUCCUUGCACCCCCUGGCUCAUGACUCCUUAGAGUAAGCCCACGCCAGGACCACAGACGGCAUUUAACUCCGCGCUUACUGCCACUAGACAGCUGGUGGAGCGCACGAUUGGUGUUCUUAAAGGGCGUUUUUGUGUGCUCCACCGCACUGGUGGCGACAUCAUGUAUUCGCCGGAGAUGGUAAGUAAAAUUGUGGUCCUGUGCGCUAUCCUACAUAACAUCGCUGUAAGGAGUCGCGUAGAGCUUCCCCAAACGGAGGAAUUGCCGGAUGAGGAGCCAGGGGUUGGCCGGACAUUCGGUGGGGGGAGUGUAUCCCGGCGGGGGAAUGAAGUAAGGGCAAGAAUUGUCCGUGAUUAUUUCAGAUAUUUUGUUUUUUCAUUAUUUAUUUUCGUUUGCCAAAAGUCUCUGUAUUUGUAUUGUAAUUUUGAACUGAUGUCAUUUAGGUAGCUUGGUAAAGUUCAUAGUGUGUUGGUUUUCUUUUGUGAGUCUAUAUUAUUCUUUGUUUAAUAAAUAAAUCUGUAAUGUUCUCCGUAUCAUGUAUUUUGUUAGAAUAUUGUUGUUGACAAUGUUUUUUGUUUGGUAAUUUAUAAUUAAUUAUAUUUUGGUUAAUUGUGUUAAUAACCAUAUUUUUUUGUUUAUUUGGCUUGUGCAUCUGUUUACAUUACAAAUGACACAACAUAUGAUCCUAAAUGUCGAUAACUUUGGGACUUUGUGCAGCUGAUUGUUAAUGUAAAAUGUGGUGAGUACACAGAUUGUAACAAUUACUUUUCAAUAGGUGUGUGUGUAUGUGAGUGUGUGUGUGUGUGUGUGUGUGUGUGUGAUUGUGAGUGUGUGUUUCUGUGUGUGUAUGUGAGUGUGAUUGUGAGUGAGUGUGAUUUUGAGUGAGUGUGUGUGUGUGUGUGUAUGUGAGUGUGAUUGUGAGUGAGUGUGAUUUUGAGUGAGUGUUUGUGUGUGUGUGUGAGUGUAUGUGAGUGUGAUUGUGAGUGUGAUUGUGAGUGUGUUUUUUUUUAAUUUCUUCCGCGGGUGCGAAUUUCCGCUAAUGCGAAUUGUACCCACUGUAUUUCACAUUAAUGCACACAUAUCAAUAAAGUUUAUUACAGAUGACACCAUCAAUUUACAACCAAUCAAAUGGCACAACACACUAUAAAUAUAUGCCCAUGUAUGGAAAACGCCAUUGGCACCAUGCGCGCAGCUGCUUUCACACAACAGGAGAUGCGCGUGCUGGUCGCAGUAAUGGACCGCCGCGUAGGCCGUGCAGGGCCCUUUAUCCCAAAUAGGGUAAAGCGCGAGACCUACGCAGAGGUCCGCCGCUUACUGUGAACACGUACCCGGAGCAGGAGGACCAUCAUACAGUUGGAGAGGCGCUGGAGCGACCUCCGCCGACGCACGCCGGACCUGUUGGCGGAAUUGCGCCAACAAAUCCGGGCAAUACGUAUACGCAGUAAAUUUAACAUAUUACAUUAAAUAUGUGUAUUACACUGAGAAUAUUAACAUACACUUUAAAUGUAAAGUCUGCACAUUUUCACUAAGAAGUUAUAUAGUGAGAAAAUUAGCAGACUGUUAAACUAUUGUAGAGCAAACAUGCCAAGUUUACACAGUGUGUGUGGUUAUGGGAAGCAGUACUGACUGUAGCAAAGUGCUUUGUAAGUAGUUAAUGUUGUUGUACUGAGUUGCUACACAGGCUGUCGCCUGAACCCAAUAACUUGUUCUGUGUCUUUAACAUGGGACAGAACAAUGUAAUUUUAAAAUGCUGAUGUAAUUUUUUUUAAACCCACUACAUAAUUAUUACAUAUCUCAUUCUAGGGCAAGCACAACGUCGAGCAGCAUCUGCAAGGCAGAGACUUACACGCCCAGGCCCAGCACAUUCUCCGCACCCCACCCCUUCUGUGGACCAUUCCCUCUCUCCGUCCCCCUCCCCCUUUCUUUCCCAAGCCCCCUCUCUGGCCCACUCCCCCUCUCUUUCCCAAUCCCCUUCUCUGCCCCACUCCCCUUCUGUGGCCCAAUCCCCCUCUCUGCCCCCUCCCCCUCUCUUUCCCAAUCCCCUUCUCCGUCUCCCUCCCCCUCUCUUUCCCAAGCCCCCUCUCUGGCCCACUCCCCCUCUCCGGCCCACUCCCCCUCUUUCCCAAUCCCCUUCUCCGCCCCACUCCCCUUCUGUGGCCCAAUCCCCCUCUCCGCCCCACUCCCCUUCUGUGGCCCAAUCCCCCUCUCCGCCCCCUUCCCCUCUCUUUCCCAAUCCCCUUCUCCGCCCCCCUCCCCCUCUCUUUCCCAAACCCCCUCUCUGCCCCCCUCACCCUAUGUGGCCCAAACCACCUAUCCGCCACCCUCCCCCUCUUUCCCAAUCCGCUUCUCUGCCUCACUUCCCUUCUGUGGCCCAAUCCCCCUCUCCGCCCCCCUCCCCCUCUCUUUCCCAAACCCCCUCUCUGCCCCCCUCACCCUCUGUGGCCCAAACCACCUCUCCGCCACCCUCCCCCUCUUUUUCCUGAUCCUCUUCUCUGCCCCCCUCCCACUCUGUGGCCCAAACCAUCUCUCCGCCACCCUCCCCCUCUCAAUCUGACCCAUCCUCUGUAACCAGCUCCCCCUUCCAUCCUCUUUCCCCAAUCCAGCCUCCUGCCCCCAUCCAGCCUCCUUCCCCCAUCCAACCUCCUUCCCCCAUCCAGCCGCCAUCCCCACCUUCUGAAUGGGCAGCAGAGGCCCCGGAGGCCCUUCAGGGAGGUGCUCAAGUGGCAGACGAGAAUGGCGCAGUUGGAGAUCCCACAAGUCUUCCUGGGAUCUGGGCAAGCCUAAAGGCAAAUUUGCGGGCUGUGCUUCGGGACGUGGAGCGCAUGGAGCAGUUUUUUUAAAAUGUUUAAUAAUUUUUUUUUUUUUUUACAAAAAAAAUACAAAAACAUUACUGUUUAAAAAUAAAAAAUGUUGUUUGCAUUUAA